UAAGACGAACCGUGCAAACGUUGUUCGGAAUCACUGGGCUUAAAGGGCGCGUAGGCGGGCAAGCAAGUCCGGGGUGAAAUCUUUCGGCUCAACCGGAAAAGUGCCUUGGAUACUGCUUGUCUGGAGGGAGGUAGGGGCAUGUGGAACUUCUGGUGGAGCGGUGAAAUGCGUUGAUAUCAGAAGGAACGCCGGUGGCGAAAGCGACGUGCUGGACCUCUUCUGACGCUGAGGCGCGAAAGCUAGGGGAGCAAACGGGAUUAGAUACCCCGGUAGUCCUAGCCCUAAACGAUGGGUACUAGAUUGUGGACUAGACAUGGGUUCCCAGUCGAAGCAAAAGUGUUAAGUACCCCGCCUGGGGAGUAUGGUCGCAAGGCUG
This 376-nucleotide ribosomal RNA is filed under the name uncultured bacterium. Its description in RNAcentral is "bacterial SSU rRNA". It matches the Rfam family "Bacterial small subunit ribosomal RNA", at positions 521 to 896 of the family's 1533-position model. The record is from RNAcentral.